This 1242-nucleotide ribosomal RNA is filed under the name Triticum aestivum (bread wheat). Its description in RNAcentral is "partial small subunit ribosomal RNA". Lineage: Eukaryota; Viridiplantae; Streptophyta; Magnoliopsida; Poales; Poaceae. The record is from RNAcentral.
AUGGACGCGAUGCGGAAGCAGCUGGACGUGCUGAUGGGGGCCAACCGCAACGGCGACGUGCGGGAGGUCAACCGCAAGUACUUCGACCGCGACGUCUGCCGCCUCUUCCUCGCCGGCCUCUGCCCCCACGACCUCUUCCAGCUCACGAAAAUGGAUCUCGGACCCUGCCCCAAGGUCCACUCGCUUCAGCUGCGGAAAGACUAUGAAGAGGUAAAAGCAAAGGGGUCGGAGAAUUUCGACAGGGAGCUCGAGGACAUGAUAGACAGGCUCAUCGUGGAGUGUGAGCGGAAAAUCCAGAGGGCGCUGAAGCGCCUCGCCGACGAGGAUGCCAAGGCUGCUAUCGCGAUAUCUGUGUCCGAGGUCACUCAGUCUGAAGAAGUUGCGCAGCUGUCAAAGGAAAUCAAGGAGAAGAUGAAAGAAGCUGAUAUCUUCGAUUUUGAAGGGAAGACUGAUGAUAAAAUCAAGACCAUGGAAUUGGUCGAAGAAUUAAGAUCUAAAAGGGCUGACCUGCAGGCUACCCUCUUGCUUGAUGCCUUUAACAAGGACCGAGCUGCAAUACCUCAACCUAUUCCACCUCCUCAAAUGGCAACACUGCCAGCACCUCCUCCUCCUGAUGCUCGUACUCAAGAACUGAUCAAUGAGAAGCUGAGUAAAGCUGAAGCCCUUGGUGAACAAGGGAUGGUAGAAGAAGCGCAGAAGGCUUUAGAAGAAGCAGAAGCUCUCAAAAAGUUGGCAGCGGCACGGCAGGAGCCAGUUGCUGAUCCUUCUAAAUACAGUGUUGCUGAUGUCCGAAUUACUGAUCAGAAGUUGCGCCUCUGUGACAUAUGUGGAGCAUUUUUGAGUGUCUAUGACAAUGAUCGACGUCUUGCUGACCAUUUUGGAGGGAAGCUACACUUGGGUUAUAUGUUGAUUCGUGAGAAACUGAAAGAACUCCAGGAGGAGAGGACCAAAAAAAGGACCGAGAAACCUGAAGAUGACAGACGAUCAAGGGAAAACAGCAGGGACCGCAAUGGGCGGGCAUCCAGGGAUAGAGAUGCAGAAAGAAAGGACAGGGUUGAGCCCCGGGAUAGCAGAAGAGACCACGAUAGGGAUCGUGAUAGGCGCCAUGACAGGGACCGUCGCCAUGACCGCGACCGUGAUAGAGACCAUGACCGCUCCUCCCGUGGUAGAGAGCAUGACCGUGAUAGGAGAAGGGAACGCUCUCGAUCCAGGGACCGCAGCAGGCGCCAUGAAAGAUAUUGA